RNAcentral lists this ribosomal RNA (434 nucleotides) under uncultured bacterium. RNAcentral describes it as "bacterial SSU rRNA". It matches the Rfam family "Bacterial small subunit ribosomal RNA", at positions 340 to 767 of the family's 1533-position model. The record is from RNAcentral.
UACGGAAGGCAGCAGUGGGGAAUAUUGCACAAUGGGCGAAAGCCUGAUGCAGCUAUGCCGCGUGUAUGAAGAAGGCCUUAGGGUUGUAAAGUACUUUCAUCGGGGAGGAAAAACAAAACUAAUAAUUUUAUUUCUUGACGUUACCCGAAAAAGAAGCACCGGCUAACUCCGUGCCAGCAGCCGCGGUAAUACGGAGGGUGCUAGCGUUAAUCAGAAUUACUGGGCGUAAAGAGCACGUAGGUGGUUUUUUAAGUCAGAUGUGAAAUCCCUGGGCUUAACCUAGGAACUGCAUUUUGAAACUGAAAUACUAGAGUAUCGUAGAGGGAGGUAGAAUUCUAGGUGUAGCGGUGAAAUGCGUAGAUAUCUGGAGGAAUACCUGUGGCGAAAGCGGCCUCCUAAACGAAUACUGACACUGAGGUGCGAAAGCGUGGGGA